Molecule: long non-coding RNA, 1793 nt
Filed under: Scophthalmus maximus (turbot)
Lineage: Eukaryota; Metazoa; Chordata; Actinopteri; Pleuronectiformes; Scophthalmidae
Description: lncRNA (ENSSMAG00000033149.1)
Source: RNAcentral
CGGCCGUAGGAUGGUGUGCGUGAGCACUGACAACCCGAUUUACCAUGAUGCUGGAGGUGACUGAGGCCGACUGUGUCCCGUCCAAUCAAGACAUCGCAGUGCAGAUAGAGACAAGAGGCAGUGAGAUGCCACGGCCAUACGCUCGAGAUCUGGCCAUCACUGCCGUCAUCUGCUUUAUUGGUGGCAUUGGCUUGACUCUGCUGGCAGUCCUGAUUUACUAUCAAGUGUCCCACAAGAAGAAAGUAAAAGAAGGUGAAACACAGAAGGAGGAAGAGGAAGGACGCCCCGCUGUUUUCAGCAACCACAUCAGUGAGAAGAGGAGGGAUGUUUCCUUGCAAGCUAGUAGCAGUCAACCAUCGGACAGGAAAGCCAUGAUGUUCGAAAAUCAUGGUGGCCAGUUUUGGUCCGGAGUGGAUGAGGAUGAUGGUCAUUUUAGGUGCCUAGACCGCACCAAAUCACAGAGGGGGGUGUGGCCGAAUCAGAUGAGAUUGAAUAAUGGGAUAAACAGAGAGAUGGAGGCUGAGGAGGAAAGAGAGAAGAGGAGAAUGAGGGUGAUGACAGAGGAGGAGAGGAGGAAACUUGGGAUUCAGCAGGGAACCCUGAUCAGGGAAAUUCCUAAAAAGCUUCUUUCUCUUGGAAACUCCAACUCUUUUACUCAUCCAUGGAGAGAAACCUUCAAUGGAAGACCAGGGACCCUGUCAGCUUAUAAGACAGACAGAAACAUGGACAGCUACAGGACUGAUGUGGAAGGUAGGAGUAAUGGAUAUGAGAAUUUACACUGCGAGAGCUGCCACAGGACUUCCAGACCACCAGGGCAGACCGUGAGACCGGGGAGGAUUCACACCAACAUGAGAGACUCUGCUCUGAUUGACAGCGUCUCUCCACAACACAGACUGAUUGACAAGGGUAGGAAUGUUAACCACAACCAGUUUGACACGAUGAAGGACACAGAGUUGAGAAGAGAAGGAAGACAUGUAACAUUUGAUCUGGAGGGGUCGAGAAUCCUAGAGCAAGGUGAGGACAAGAGGGAGGGGAGAGGGAGGACCUCCAGAGACAAAGACAAAAGAAGAACAAGGAGACAAAAAGGUCAAAUCCAAUCCAGUCGACAACUGAAGGUCAAACUAAACUUGAGCCCUCGUAGAAAAAGUAAAGUCCAUCCUAAGAGGAAAACCGAGCAUGGCGACCGAAGCAGCUCCAGUAAAAGUAAAGAGAAAAGAGAGGAUGGUAAAGAAAGAGAAGAAAAGGAAGGGAAACCAAAGUCUGGUAAGAAGACAAAGGGGAGCAGCGAGAAAAUGAAGAAAUCCACCAGGAGUACAGGUUCUUCUGAGGAAGAGAAGGAGAAAAAAAUGGCUCCGGCAUCUCCAAGUACACACGGUCUGUCCGAGGUAAACCGUCAGGCACUGGGAUCAUUGACUACAGUGGAGCAUUUGUCAGACAAUACUGGUCAGACAGGGACUGGGCAUGCAGCUGGUGGGUCAGCAGGCAAUAGGUUAGCUGGGGCUGUGGCUCUAACAGAAGGACCAGCAGUGGGGGUGUAUGGAGACGACAUGGACACAGCUGUAUCAGGUGUCUCUGUGCCUAGUAUGUCUGCUCAGAAUGGAUCCUCCACAGGGGGUGCUGAUGGUGCUGAUGGUGCUGAUGGAGCUGAUGGAGCUGCUGCGGCUACUGCACUGCUGCAGCAGGAGUAUGUGACCAAGGAGGGAGGCUCCUCUCCGAGGAGGAAGCUGAGACUGGUGCUUCCUGAGAAGACAUCCAGUCGACCGCCCACAGCACUGGAAAGGAAGAUACGCUAG